CAUGUUCAGCGUGGCAUUUCGGACUUCUGGCGGGGGCGGGGGGGGGGAGUUUGCUGGUAUUUCACGUGACCCUAAAGCGCCAUGCCGGAAGCACUGAGUCUGAUGCGCCGGAACUAGUCUCCACUGUGUGGUUUGGUCUUGAUUUCCAUUGGUUCUCUGUGGUCUUGGAUAAGCCUCUGGAUCUCGCUUUUAUCAUUUUCGAAGUAAACAGGAUCCAAUAGAGAUUUUCCUAGAAUCAUUCAACUAAAAAUGAAGAAAUUUUUUUUUUGAGAGGAAGGACGGGAUCGCAGUUAAAGAUGUUAAUGUUAAAUCAUUCGUCUGUGAUUUCAGGACAUUGUCUUUGCACGAAUUCCUGUGGAGAAGGGAGGAAAGGAGCAACAGGAAUGAUAUUAUUGCUGCCUUCAACUUUUGCCUUUGUCACGCUCUCCAGGCAAAGACCACCAGGAACAAGCCUAUAGUUGAACAAAUUGGGCUUAUUACUUAUUGCAACUUGUGAGAACACACACACCUGGGAGCCAUAAGGCAUGUCAAUAGGAGGGAAUUAGACAGGUCUUAUUGAGCUAAAAAAGGAUGAACCUGUAAACAAAAAGUUGAAGAGCUUUGGUGUACUAAAGUGGAUCAACCUCUGACUGCCCAAAGAUGCAGAAACACAGUACCAGGUAGAACUCAAGCUGGGGCAGCAAACUGCAGCAGACCUGCAGCAGAGGGGUCUGAUGGUUAGAAGGAAAACUAAUGAACAGAAAAGAAUAGCAUCAACAUCAACAAAAAGGACAUCCACGCAAAAACUACACACAAAGGUCACUGACAUGAAAGACCAAAGGUAGAUAAAUCCAUGAAGAUGAGGAAAAAAAUGCAAAAUGGCUGAAAAUUCCAAAAACCAGACUGCCUCUUUUCCUCCAAAGGAUCACAACUCCUUGCCAGUAAGGAAACAAAACUGGACAGGGAAUGAGUUUGAUGAAUUGACAGAAGUAGGCUUCAGAAGGUGGGUAAAACAAACUACUCCUAGCUAAAGGUCCAUGUUCCAACCCAUCAAUAUUGUGAACAUUGCCAUAUUGCCCAAAGUAAUUUAUAGAUUCAAUGCUAUCUCCAUCAAGCUACCAUUGACUUUCUUCACAGAAUUGGAAUAAACUACUUUAAAUUUCCUAUGGAACCACAAAAGAGCCCAUAUAGCCAAGACACUCCUAAGCAAAAAGACCGAAGCUGGAGGCAUCAUGCUACCUGACUUUAAAUUAUACUACGUGGCUACAGUAACCAAAACAGCGUGGUACUGGUUACAAACAGAUAUAUAGACCCAUGGAAGAACAUGGUAUGGGUUACAAACAGAUAUAUAGACCAAUGGAAGAACAGAGGCUUCAUAAAUAAUGCCACAUAUCUACGACCAUCUGAUCUUAAACAAACCUGACAAAAACAAACAAUGGGGAAGGAUUCCCUAUUUAAUAAAUAUGUUAGAAAAACUGGCUAGCCAUAUGCAGAAAACUGAAACUGGACCCCUUCCUUACACCUUACACAAAAAUUAACUCAAGAUGGAUUAAAGACUUAAACAUAAGACCUAAACCAUUAAACAAACAAAAGAAAAACUCAGAAGAAAACCUAGGCAGUACCACUCAGGACAUAGUCAUAGGCAAAGACUUCAUGAUCAAAACACCAAAAGCAAUGGCAACAAAAGACAAAAUUGACAAAUGGGAUCUAAUUAAACUAAAGAGCCUCUGCACAGCAAAAGAAACUAAAAAACUAUCUUCAGAGUAAAGAGGCAACCUACAGAAUGGGAGAAAAUUUUUGCAAUCCAUCUGACAAAAGGCUAAUAUCCAGAAUCUACAAGGAGCUUAAACAAAUUUAUAAGAACAAAACAAACCACCCCAUCAAAAAGUGGAUGAAGAAUAUGAACAGACACUUUUCAAAAGAAGACAUUUAUGCAUCUAACAAACAUGAAGAAAAGCUCAUGAUCACUGGUCAUUAGAGAAAUGCCAAUCAAAACCACAGUGAGAUAUCAUCUCAUGCCAGUUGGAAUGGCAAUCAUUAAAAAGUCAGGAAACAACAUAUGCUGGAGAGGAUGUGGAAAAAUAGGAACACUUUUACAUGGUUGGUGGGAGUGUAAAUUAGUUAACCAAUGUGGAAGACACAGUGUGGCAAUUCCUCAAGGAUCUAAAUCCAAAAAUACCAUUUGACCCCACAAUCCCAUUACUGGGUUUAUACCCAAAGGAUUAUAAAUCAUUCUGCUAUAAAGACACAUGUAUACUUAUGUUUAUUGCAGCACUAUUCACAAUAGCAAAGAUUGGAACCAACUCAAAUGCCCAUCAACGAUAGACUGGAUAAGGAAAGCGUGGCACAUAUACACCACAGAAUACUAUGUAGACAUAAAAAACGAUGAGUUCAUGUCCUAUGCAGGGACAUGGAUGAAGCUGGAAACUAUCAUUCUCAGCAAACUAACAGAGGAACAGAGAACCAAACACUGCAUGUUCUCACUCAGAAGUGGGGGUUGAACAAUGAGAACACAUGGACACAGAGAGGGGAACAUCACACACCAGAGCCUGUUGGGGGUGGGGGACUAGGGGAGGGAUAGCAUUAGGAGAAAUACCUAAUGUAGAUGAUGGGUUGAUGGGUGCAGCAAACCGCCAUGACCUGUAUACCUAUGUAACAAACUUGCACAUUCUGCACAUGUAUCCCAGAACUUAAAGUAUAAUAAUAAAAAAAGAAAUAUGGUUUCUAUAUGUAAAUAAAGUUAUCACUAAAAAAAGAAUCUUACCACUCACCAAUAAAAAGAUAAAUAAUCUGAGUAAAACGUAAGCAAAGGAUUUGAGUAGAUAUUUCUUCAAAUGGCUAAUAAGCCUUUGAAAAGAUAUAUGACAUUAUUAUUUACUCCCUGUUCCCCUAUUCCCUCAGGCUCAGCCAGUGGAACUGAGAUUCCAGUGACUUUUCUUUUUCCUUUUUAGUUUACAGAAUCACAUUUUGAGGAAUUCACAAGUAUUUUCCGAAACAGUAAAUAGUCGAUUACAGUCAGUUACGUUAGAUUCUUUAUGUUUCAUGCUUUCAUUUACAUAUUAACGAAGCAUUGCAUGCAGGAAUUAGGGAUAAAUAAUGUUAUUAGAAGUGCAUAAUGGGCUGAUUCUUAUGGAGCAUAUGUUUAUGUUGUGUAGACUUCUUUUGAUAAUGACUGUACUGAAGGACCUAAAACAAAACUUACAUGCAAAAACUUUAUCCUGAGAAUACUGAGUCAUUGUUUUAUAUAAGGAGAAGUCUCAAUCAGAUUUGCAUUUUAGAAAGUCCAUCUUCAAGGUUAUAGAGUUAGAGCAGGGGUUAGCAAACUUUUCCUGUUAAGAGCCAGGUAGUAAAUAAAUAUUUUAUGUAGAGAGUGGAUAAUGUAAAAUGUC
Callithrix jacchus (white-tufted-ear marmoset) is the source of this 3368-nucleotide non-coding RNA. The record is from RefSeq and is a predicted model, not a curated record. Lineage: Eukaryota; Metazoa; Chordata; Mammalia; Primates; Cebidae.